This 549-nucleotide ribosomal RNA is filed under the name fungal sp. GZ-2010a. RNAcentral describes it as "eukaryotic LSU rRNA". The stretch from base 229 to 382 matches the Rfam family "5.8S ribosomal RNA". Lineage: Eukaryota; Fungi. The record is from RNAcentral.
UGGAAGUAAAAAAUCGUAACAAGGUCUCCGUUGGUGAACCAGCGGAGGGAUCAUUACUGAGUUUACGCUCUACAACCCUUUGUGAACAUACCUAUAACUGUUGCUUCGGCGGGUAGGGUCUCCGUGACCCUCCCGGCCUCCCGCCCCCGGGCGGGUCGGCGCCCGCCGGAGGAUAACCAAACUCUGAUUUAACGACGUUUCUUCUGAGUGGUACAAGCAAAUAAUCAAAACUUUUAACAACGGAUCUCUUGGUUCUGGCAUCGAUGAAGAACGCAGCGAAAUGCGAUAAGUAAUGUGAAUUGCAGAAUUCAGUGAAUCAUCGAAUCUUUGAACGCACAUUGCGCCCGCCAGCAUUCUGGCGGGCAUGCCUGUUCGAGCGUCAUUUCAACCCUCAAGCUCUGCUUGGUGUUGGGGCCCUACAGCUGAUGUAGGCCCUCAAAGGUAGUGGCGGACCCUCCCGGAGCCUCCUUUGCGUAGUAACUUUACGUCUCGCACUGGGAUCCGGAGGGACUCUUGCCGUAAAACCCCCAAUUUUCCAAAGGUUGACCU